Long non-coding RNA from Acomys russatus (golden spiny mouse), 353 nucleotides. RefSeq lists it as uncharacterized. The record is from RefSeq and is a predicted model, not a curated record. Lineage: Eukaryota; Metazoa; Chordata; Mammalia; Rodentia; Muridae. The transcript is spliced from 3 exons.
CGCCCUCCGGUCCAAGCGCUGGAAUCGCGCGGCCCCGCCCCUUCCGGGAAGCCAGUUGCCGAGAAAACUAGCGGCGGACCCGGCCUCGGCCCGGCACUGGCUUACCUCGGCGUCGCUUUGGUUUCCGCGGCCACGUUCCUGGGCCCAGCCUUAGAAGCUGGAGGCAUCCCCAGAACACCACAGAAGUAUGGCAUUCUUGGACUGACCUGAGAACCAUGCUGAACCUGCAGCUCCCUCUGGAAGUAACAAAGGUGGUUGUUUGGGUUCAUACAGUGAAAACGAUUUGCUUUUGACUCCAUCCAAAAGGACUGUUAGUCAGCUUUCAAAGCACCUUCUAGAAGGCACUACUAAGG